RNAcentral lists this small RNA (539 nucleotides) under Pongo abelii (Sumatran orangutan). RNAcentral describes it as "processed transcript". The record is from RNAcentral. Lineage: Eukaryota; Metazoa; Chordata; Mammalia; Primates; Hominidae.
AAGAAGAGAAGCCGCGGCCCCUGCAGGACGGGGGCCUGUGUCGCUAUGGGUUCCCCCGCCGCCCCGGAGGGAGCGCUGGGCUACGUCCGCGAGUUCACUCGCCACUCCUCCGACGUGCUGGGCAACCUCAACGAGCUGCGCCUGCGCGGGAUCCUCACUGACGUCACGCUGCUGGUUGGCGGGCAACCCCUCAGAGCACACAAGGCAGUUCUCAUCGCCUGCAGCCACUGCACCAGCAGUCCUUGCGGCCGCCACCUAUUUGCAGAUGGAGCACGUGGUCCAGGCAUGCCACCGCUUCAUCCAGGCCAGCUAUGAACCUCUGGGCAUCUCCCUGCGCCCCCUGGAAGCAGAACCCCCAACACCCCCAACGGCCCCUCCACCAGGCAGUCCCAGGCGCUCCGAGGGACACCCAGACCCACCUACUGAAUCUCGAAGCUGCAGUCAAGGCCCCCCUAGUCCAGCCAGCCCCGACCCCAAGGCCUGCAACUGGAAAAAGUACAAGUACAUCGUGCUAAACUCUCAGGCCUCCCAAGCAGGCA